AAGUCGUAACAAGGUUUCCGUAGGUGAACCUGCGGAAGGAUCAUUAACACGUAUCCAACGUUAAACAACCCUGUGAACUUUCAGACGCUCUUGUAGCCCAGGAGGAACAGCAAUCCCGGUAAAUCAAUGGCGGAAAAGUUUUGAUUCGGGACCUCUGUCCAAAAGGUAUCAAGUUACAAUCGAGCUAGGAGCAGUGGCAUGGUUUCCCUAAGCAGUGCAGAAGGAUCCACUGAGUAAGGAUAACGCAUCACGGUUGCCAGAGGUGGCAAAAAAAUCUGAACAACUGUUAACAAUGGCUAUCUUGGUUCUC
Molecule: unclassified non-coding RNA, 310 nt
Filed under: fungal sp.
Lineage: Eukaryota; Fungi
Description: partial internal transcribed spacer region
Rfam family: Eukaryotic small subunit ribosomal RNA (bases 1-46)
Source: RNAcentral